RNAcentral lists this ribosomal RNA (465 nucleotides) under uncultured bacterium. RNAcentral describes it as "partial 16S ribosomal RNA". It matches the Rfam family "Bacterial small subunit ribosomal RNA", at positions 28 to 507 of the family's 1533-position model. The record is from RNAcentral.
GACGAACGCUGGCGGCGUGCUUAACACAUGCAAGUCGAACGGAAAGGCCCUGCUUGCAGGGUAUUCGAGUGGCGAACGGGUGAGUAACACGUGGGUGAUCUGCCCUGCACUUCGGGAUAAGCCUGGGAAACUGGGUCUAAUACCGGAUAGGAGCCAUUUUUAGUGUGAUGGUUGGAAAGUUUUUUCGGUGUAGGAUGAGCUCGCGGCCUAUCAGCUUGUUGGUGGGGUAAUGGCCUACCAAGGCGGCGACGGGUAGCCGGCCUGAGAGGGUGGACGGCCACAUUGGGACUGAGAUACGGCCCAGACUCCUACGGGAGGCAGCAGUGGGGAAUAUUGCACAAUGGGCGCAAGCCUGAUGCAGCGACGCCGCGUGGGGGAUGACGGCCUUCGGGUUGUAAACGCCUUUCGCUAGGGACGAAGCUUUUUGUGACGGUACCUAGAUAAGAAGCACCGGCUAACUACGUG